Molecule: long non-coding RNA, 206 nt
Filed under: Capsicum annuum
Lineage: Eukaryota; Viridiplantae; Streptophyta; Magnoliopsida; Solanales; Solanaceae
Description: long non-coding RNA (CANN_LNC011646)
Source: RNAcentral
UGAAGUAAAACGAGUAUAACACCUUACUCAGAUGUUGGAUUUGGAUGAAACCAAUUGAAUUGGAAAGAAGACUCAGAGAUCUUUCUUUUGAUAUGUGGUAGCUCUCCCAGUUCAUUAUAUUGAGGGAGUUAUGAUCGUUCAAAGUUGACCCAAAAAACUGGCAGGCCUCAGUAGUUUUCCUGCACAUUUACUGUUCACAUCCCGGC